This is a non-coding RNA of Tricholoma furcatifolium, 81 nucleotides long. Lineage: Eukaryota; Fungi; Basidiomycota; Agaricomycetes; Agaricales; Tricholomataceae. The record is from the annotation of a GenBank genome assembly.
AGCAGCAUGGCGCAGCUGGAAGCGCGCAGGGCCCAUAACAUGGUUACCCUGAGGUCAGUCGAUCGAAACGACUUGCUGCUA